AGAAAUAGUAGGGAAGACUUAGUUGUGGCGGUUGCCACAACCCUAGUCCUUGACUCCAAGGCGAGCGCCACAAUUUUAAUGUUGAGCACCACAAACUCUUCAUGCUUGGUGGCGGGCGCCACCACCCUCUUUGGUUCAUGUGGUAGGCGCCACAUAUCCAGGUGAUGGGCUCCACAAGCCCAUUUGGUGUGGUGGCUCAUUAUCUCGAUUUUUCUCCAUUUUCUUCUCUUUUUCUUUCCUUUUUUCUAUUUUCCACUUUGCUUGCUCGUAAACCUUUUAUUCGAUAAAUACCUGCAAUAAACGUAAAAUACUGCGUAAUAAUAAGUGUUAAUCAAGUAAAAAGGAAUGCAUAUGAAGUCAAAAAUAUGAUACAUUUUCGUGUUAUCAGCCAUAUAAAACCUUACUUCUGCAAAUUGUGUGGCUAUCCUAAACCUGCUUCACAACUCAGAAGAAAGCAAACCAUGGUGAAGCCAAAGAAAAGAUAGAUUCC
This 490-nucleotide long non-coding RNA is filed under the name Lathyrus oleraceus (garden pea). Its description in RNAcentral is "Pisum sativum (pea) long non-coding RNA (PSAT_LNC031197)". Lineage: Eukaryota; Viridiplantae; Streptophyta; Magnoliopsida; Fabales; Fabaceae. The record is from RNAcentral.